This 493-nucleotide ribosomal RNA is filed under the name uncultured bacterium. RNAcentral's name for it is "partial 16S ribosomal RNA". It matches the Rfam family "Bacterial small subunit ribosomal RNA", at positions 29 to 507 of the family's 1533-position model. The record is from RNAcentral.
ACGAACGCUGGCGGCGUGCUUAACACAUGCAAGUCGAACGGUGAAGCGCCUUCCUUUUUGGUGGGUGUGGAUGAGUGGCGAACGGGUGAGUAACACGUGAGUAACCUGCCCCCUUCUUCUGGAUAACCGCAUGAAAGUGUGGCUAAUACGGGAUAUUCUGGGUCUGUCGCAUGAUGGGUCUGGGAAAGAUAUUGUUUCGGUGGGGGAUGGGCUCGCGGCCUAUCAGCUUGUUGGUGGGGUGAUGGCCUACCAAGGCGGUGACGGGUAGCCGGCCUGAGAGGGUGGACGGUCACACUGGGACUGCGACACGGCCCAGACUCCUACGGGAGGCAGCAGUGGGGAAUAUUGCACAAUGGGCGCAAGCCUGGUGCAGCGACGCCGCGUGAGGGAUGGAGGCCUUCGGGUUGUGAACCUCUUUCGCCAGUGAAGCAGGCCUGCCUCGUUUGUGGGUGGGUUGACGGUAGCUGGAUAAGAAGCGCCGGCUAACUACGUG